UACGUAGGGUGCAAGCGUUGUCCGGAAUUAUUGGGCGUAAAGAGCUCGUAGGCGGUUUGUCGCGUCUGCUGUAGAAACUCGGGGCUUAACCCCGGGCCUGCAGUGGGUACGGGCAGACUAGAGUGCGGUAGGGGAGACUGGAAUUCCUGGUGUAGCGGUGAAAUGCGCAGAUAUCAGGAGGAACACCGGUGGCGAAGGCGACACCCUGGACUCAUACUGACACUGAGGUGCGAAAGCGUGGGGAGCAAACAGG
This 253-nucleotide ribosomal RNA is filed under the name uncultured bacterium. RNAcentral's name for it is "partial 16S ribosomal RNA". It matches the Rfam family "Bacterial small subunit ribosomal RNA", at positions 524 to 776 of the family's 1533-position model. The record is from RNAcentral.